GACGAACGCUGGCGGCGUGCUUAACACAUGCAAGUCGAACGGAAAGGCCCUGCUUUUGUGGGGUGCUCGAGUGGCGAACGGGUGAGUAACACGUGAGUAACCUGCCCUUGACUUUGGGAUAACUUCAGGAAACUGGGGCUAAUACCGGAUAGGAGCUCCUGCUGCAUGGUGGGGGUUGGAAAGUUUCGGCGGUUGGGGAUGGACUCGCGGCUUAUCAGCUUGUUGGUGGGGUAGUGGCUUACCAAGGCUUUGACGGGUAGCCGGCCUGAGAGGGUGACCGGCCACAUUGGGACGGGGAGACGGCCCAGACGCCUACGGGAGGCAGCAGUGGGGAAUAGUGCACAAUGGGCGGAAGCCUGAUGCAGCAACGCCGCGUGCGGGAUGACGGCCUUCGGGUUGUAAACCGCUUUCGCCUGUGACGAAGCGUGAGUGACGGUAAUGGGUAAAGAAGCACCGGCUAACUACGU
This 467-nucleotide ribosomal RNA is filed under the name uncultured bacterium. RNAcentral describes it as "partial 16S ribosomal RNA". It matches the Rfam family "Bacterial small subunit ribosomal RNA", at positions 28 to 506 of the family's 1533-position model. The record is from RNAcentral.